GGGCGUAUAGCUCAGUGGUAGAGCACAUGCUUGACAUGCACAAGGAAGGUACUGGGUUCAAUCCUCAGUACCUCCA
Molecule: transfer RNA, 76 nt
Filed under: Camelus bactrianus (Bactrian camel)
Lineage: Eukaryota; Metazoa; Chordata; Mammalia; Artiodactyla; Camelidae
Also listed under: 2 other names
Rfam family: tRNA
About the family: Transfer RNA (tRNA) molecules are approximately 80 nucleotides in length.
Source: Rfam by way of RNAcentral